AAGAUGAGUACAACUAGCAUUUUUCUAGACAAAUAAGUAUGGAAUGAAAAUCUAAUACAUAAUUUGACAUUUUAAGGAAAAAUGUAUAGAGCACAGAAACAACUAUAGAAACUAAUUUCACUGGCAAUUUCUGCAGGAUGAGCAGAACCAGUACCUGCUUAGCAACAGCACAUCUGCCACUCCUUCAAAUGCUUCUACUGAUGUGUGGACUUCCAGCUACUCUACCACGUUAUACCAAAAUGCAACUACAGCAGAGGAUGAUACAUUAGUGAUCGCUCUUUCAGUUGCUAUACCAAGUUUUGUGGUUCUUCUCAUCAUAGCUAUAGUUGUGUCAGUAAUUCUACUGAAAAAGAGAAACAGGGGAAGACGAGCUGCCACACAAAACAUGCCUGAAGACAGCAUUCAUUCAGAAAGUGUGGAAUACUAUAACAUUGAUGCUAUUGAUGUGAAGAAUGAAAAUAUUUACAUGAACGAGGAUACAACCCAGAAGAACAGUAUAAAGCAUAGCCCCAGAUCAUCCUCCGAAUGGAUCCAGUCUAAAUUUUCAAACAACAUUGAUAAAAUGGAUUGUUCUGCCUCCAGAGAAUCUCCAAAGAUAGACGGGUCCCCAUAUCCACUACAAGAAGAAGAUUUCUAUGAGUCAACACUACCGAGGGAUGCUGACAGCAUCUAUGCUAACCAGGACAUAAUUGAGACAUAUCGAAGUGGUGCAAAACCAAAGAAGUAACAUCCGAGUUUCCCAGACAAUAUACAUUUUUAUAAAAUAAAAAAAGAAGAACUUCACACGGCCUGGCUUAGAUAAUAAUUGAACACCCAAUACCAGAGCUGAGAGGCUGGACACUAACUGCUAUUUUAUUUUAACCUGUCUAGCCAAUUGGAUUCAGUGUUGCCCUGAAUGUGUGUCCCCAGCAACACAAUUGCAAUCGGUCUACCUUAAAUUGGGAAAGGCAAAGAUUUAACAUCAGUCAAAUGAGGCAUGAUAGUGGGUACAUGCUGAGCAGGUGCCACAGUAGUGAGGACCAUGUGUUAGUAGGGUGCUCCAAGACAUCUGGAAAGUGGUAGCCAAGAUACUGUGCUGUGGCAAAAAAAGGGAAAAAGAUGAUUAGAGAACUAUUCAAUGCAAGGCAGCAAGGAUUCUUGUAAUGUUGCAGUUAGAUACUAUUGUGAAAAGCACUCAUUUCGGAUAGCAACAAAAUUGGGUAUUGGAUUGGGUUGGGUGGGAGCCAACCCAAUAUUAGGCACAUGUCCUAAUAAAGUGGCCAAGGGGUGUGUUUGCAAAGUUUACUCCAGUCUUUAAUGAACUCCUUUUAUGAAAGAUAAUUCCAUGUUAAUUUUACAAACCUGAGAAAGAACUAGCACGAGAGCUUAAAGAGGUUGAGGACAGGUAAAUAAAUCAAUAAAACUUGAUAUGUAAUCUUUCAUCGUUUAUUCUAGUUACUCCAGUUUAUAAGAAGUAAACUAUGUGUGAACUGUAUGUAAUAUAGAGCAGACUCUGAUAUUGAUGUUAUUCAGCCAUCUGAAAUUUCCACCCACUCAAAGUAAGAGUGACCAGUAAGCCCACUCAUGGUAGGUGUUCUGAUCUCUUGUGAAGUGGAUAUCAGCUUGUAUCGUACAGCAAUCUAUACAAUAUUCUAUUCUGAAACAUGCAUUUUGGACUAUGUAUAUGUAAACUCAUUUCUCAACCAUAUGUUUUAUCCAGUUUGUUCCAUUAAAGCGUAAUAUUAGUC
This is a long non-coding RNA of Acipenser ruthenus (sterlet), 1727 nucleotides long. RefSeq lists it as uncharacterized. The transcript has 6 exons. The record is from RefSeq and is a predicted model, not a curated record. NCBI's taxonomy places the organism in Eukaryota, Metazoa, Chordata, Actinopteri, Acipenseriformes, Acipenseridae.